This 427-nucleotide ribosomal RNA is filed under the name uncultured Actinomycetales bacterium. RNAcentral describes it as "bacterial SSU rRNA". It matches the Rfam family "Bacterial small subunit ribosomal RNA", at positions 28 to 458 of the family's 1533-position model. Lineage: Bacteria; Bacillati; Actinomycetota; Actinomycetes; Actinomycetales. The record is from RNAcentral.
GACGAUCGCUGCGGCGUGCUUAACACAUGCAAGUCGAGCGAUGAAGCUCCUUCGGGUGUGAAUUAGCGGCGAACGGGUGAGGAACACGUGAAGAAUCUGCCUUCAACUCUGGGAUAACUCCGGGAACCCGGGGCUAAUACCGGAUAUGAGCCUUGAUCGCAUGAUCGGGGCUGGAAAGUUUUUCGGUUGAAGAUGACUUCGCGGCCUAUCAGCUUGUUGGUGAGGUAAUGGCUCACCAAGGCGACGACGGGUAGCCGGCCUGAGAGGGCGACCGGCCACACUGGGACUGAGACACGGCCCAGACUCCUACGGGAGGCAGCAGUGGGGAAUAUUGGGCAAUGGAGGAAACUCUGACCCAGCGACGCCGCGUGAGAGGAUGAAGGCCUUCGGGUUGUAAACCUCUUUCAGUAGGGAAGAAGCGAAAGUG